This 547-nucleotide long non-coding RNA is filed under the name Homo sapiens (human). RNAcentral's name for it is "non-protein coding lnc-METTL14-3:9". Lineage: Eukaryota; Metazoa; Chordata; Mammalia; Primates; Hominidae. The record is from RNAcentral.
AAGAGAGCAAGUCGGCCUCCCCGGGCCCAGCUCCGGCCUCUUGGCGGCCUCUCCGGGUGCAAAAGUUCCUCGAGUCAGCCUCUCCAGGCCCAGCUCCUCCUGCCUCCCAGUGGCUUCUUUCAGCCCAGCCCAGCUCAUGGCUCUCAGCGGCCUUCCCAGGUCCCGCUUUUGACUUUUGGCGGCCUCUUCAGGCCCAGAACUUGACCUCCAGUCGGCCUUUGCAGGCCCGGCCUCCUGCCUCUCAAAGGCCUGCACGGGCCCGGCCUCGGCCUCGGCCUCACAGCGGACUCUCCACGCCCAGCUAGCUCUCGCCUCACUGUGGCCUCCCCAGUCCAAAGCUCCUGCCUUUCGGCCACUUCAGCAGGUCCAGCUCCUGCCUGCCAGUGGCCUCUUUAGGCCCAGCUCAUUCCUCACAACGGCCUUCCCAGGCCCCGUUUUUCCCUUCCGGCAGCCUCUUGGCCUCUAAUUUGUUUAUCUUUUGUGUAUAAAUCCCAAAAUAUGGAAUUUUGGAAUAUUUCCACCAUUAUAUAUUUUGGUAGGUAAUUUA